Osmia bicornis bicornis is the source of this 1691-nucleotide long non-coding RNA. RefSeq lists it as uncharacterized. Lineage: Eukaryota; Metazoa; Arthropoda; Insecta; Hymenoptera; Megachilidae. The transcript has 3 exons. The record is from RefSeq and is a predicted model, not a curated record.
AUGCGUCGAUGAGAUAAUCGAGAUACGAGAAAUAAAUCGACGGCGAAAAGCUCGCUUCUCCUACGGGAACUCAGCCGCGGGAAUUCUAGAAAUACUUUAACCACGGAACCGGCGGAGAAAAACCGACAGGGGCGACUAAUUGAGUUAAUAAGGCCUGGCAUCAAUUACGAAGCUCGUGGUUUCUAUUUUCAUGGUGUUAUUAGAAAAAAAAACUGACGCGAAAAAUUGCAAUUAAAGUUGCGUGUUUUAUGUGAAUCUGAUAUGUAGAUAGCUUAAAGAAAAGAGAGGGCAGACCUUCCGGACGGAUUCUUGAUAUCUCCACAUAGGGGAGCAUGGUGCCAGCAACACCCUCGUGGCCAAGGAAAAAAUUUUAUUCAUCUGAUAACACUGAAGGCCAUCAAAAUUUUCAACACGAUCCGGUUGUUCUAGAACACGCUAGAAUUCGCCGUUUCGAAAGGCGGUUAUUGAAGAAAAUUCCGGAAGGAUCGUUCACCGGGACUCUAAAUAUACCGAGCGUGUGCAUAGUUCCGUCGUGGAAUCUCGACCGUAUGAACAAAGUUGAACAGUAUCCGCGUGUAUGUACACGUUCCUCUUUCUACGAUAUCUCAUGCGAGGAAUGAGCCGGUUGUCAUGCACGAAAACACGCGGAACUCGCGGAACUCGCGGAUAAAGAGUGCACACGUUUGCAGAUGGCAGCGUUACAAGAGCCGGUAAUAUAUUCCUCUUUUUCAUCUUUAAGACGCACACGGUGAGUCAUCGAUCUUGAUCGUGUUAAAAGAUAUCUUCCUCGCACAUUACUAAAUGAAGAAAAAGAGGAAAAUAGACUAUCUGGACUUGCAACAUGUCUAUUCAAAGGAGUAACAUCAGGAACAAUAAGAGCAGCUCGUCGAUGACGAAGACCAAACAAAUCAUCGGAUAAGUCGUUUGACGAGAGGAAAGCAUUCUACAACACUCGCGAGGUAGAACCGAUCUAUUCCGAGCAACGAUGCAACGAUCGAAGACCAACGAAGGCCGAAAGCUGAUCACCGAUAGAAGAGGCAGCUCUCCAUUUUGUCGGGACGAUUCUUCAGCUCCCCCGUUUGUUCUUUUCCUUCGUUGACUCACGAAUUUGCAUGAACGAGAUUCCUCCCUGCCGCGCCCUGGAAACCGGACGUUUCAAGGUCUCAUCGUAGGAAGGGCAAGUUCAAGGCGAGCCACCAAAACGGAAAACCAUUUUCGUCAACGAGAUAGAGAACGAAUUAGAGCUGAUUAGAGACAGUUACAGACCAUUUAUGUCGCGUAAAAGUUAAUGACCGCGCAUCAUCUUUGAUUAAGUAGGUAUGGAAGAAAAAAGAGAAACUAUCUUCACGGUUUUUAUAAUUUGUUACAAUCCUAUUCAUGGAAUCACCCGAGUUUCCAACGUUUCUCGUACGCUCAUCAAUGGAUUCUAACCAGUUCAUUAUGAAACCCGAGUUAUAUUUAAUCGUUAGACUACGCCCGCGGUAAUUGCCAAGCAUCCGAUGUGUUAGCAAACGUAUUAAUUGACCUCUUUCAUUAAGCGGUAUACUUACUAUACCAUUCUGUACGUGUUGGAAUAAAAGGUAAUGAACGUUUCUUGCUCGGAAACGAUCCAGCUAAUAAUUAACAUACUGUCUCGAUUAAUCUAAUCCUGAUUUUACUAAUAAAGUCUCUGAAGUGGUUAAAAUUGUCGA